RNAcentral lists this transfer RNA (85 nucleotides) under Nanobdellota archaeon. Its description in RNAcentral is "tRNA-Ile". It matches the Rfam family "tRNA". Rfam says of the family: Transfer RNA (tRNA) molecules are approximately 80 nucleotides in length. Their secondary structure includes four short double-helical elements and three loops (D, anti-codon, and T loops). Lineage: Archaea; Nanobdellati; Nanobdellota. The record is from RNAcentral.
GGCACGGUCGCAUAAUCUGGUAUUGCGCCAGCUUGAUGCGUUGGUGGAAUUUUCCGAUUCCAUGCGGGUUCGAAUCCCGCUCCCG